CGUUUCUCUCCUGAGUAGAAACUUGGCAGCAUUCCUAUGUGUUGUCUUACUUCUCCUUGUUGGUACGUAACAGUCAAGUUAGAUAACACGAACGAGACAGAAUUCCUGACAGUUUUCCCCAGGCAACAAAUCUCAACUGGGUGAAGUGAAGACAGAUCGUGGUAUUGAAACUAACUAUAUUGUAUAUAAGCGUCCGAGGAUAUUUCUGUUAGCGGCAAACGUAAAUGAACAGUGAGGUAUUUUGAGAAAGCGAAUUUUUGAAACUAUUAUUAGUUAUUUAUUGCGCAAACACGUGUGUGAAUCGAAAUAUUUCCGAAGCUCCUUCAUGAAAGGUGAAAGGAGCAGUUACGAGAAGAGAUGUUUCACCCAACUCCACAUCAAUACCGUCUAUGGAACUGGAACCAUUUGUGGCCACUGACCUUGUGCAUCGGACUGGCUACGCUGGUAGUUCUUGCCCUAAUGACAGAUGGCAGCAGAUCUUGGACGGGGAAUGACCGACAGCGCGUGGACAUGGAACUGAGGAAAUGGGAUCUCACCGAAAACAAGGUCUUGGUUCUGAGCCACGAAGACAGGCCUCACGAGGUCGUGUGGGACCCGGAGAAAUACCAGCUAAUAACGAAAUACCUCGACUCUCAGACUGAGAGAGGCAAACCCGAAUCAGUUACGAAGGAGAUUGUGGACAAAGAGCCAAAGGUAAAAGAUAUUAAUGUCCUUGGUGAAAACGGUAAAAAUUAUAUUGUUAUUUAGCUAUGAGGUUUUAUUGAGAGACAAGGCUACACUUACAAUUGAGGUAGGGUGUUGUUGUGUGGUUAAA
Molecule: long non-coding RNA, 814 nt
Organism: Macrobrachium nipponense
Lineage: Eukaryota; Metazoa; Arthropoda; Malacostraca; Decapoda; Palaemonidae
Exons: 3
Source: RefSeq, a predicted model, not a curated record